GAUGAAGAACGCAGUGAAAUGCGAUAAGUGAUGUGAAUUGCAGAAUUCAGUGAAUCAUCGAAUCUUUGAACGCACCUUGCGCCUUUUGGUAUUCCGAAAGGCACACCUGUUUGAGCGUCAUGAAUACCUCAAUCUCCAUCUUUUCUUCGGAUUGAUGGGUGACUUGGAUGUUGAGCCCUGCUGGUAUGCUAUAUCAGCUGGCUUUAAACUUAUUAGCCGGCUCUGUACUGGAUCGGUUUGACUCGACGUGAUAAUAUUAUCGUUGAGGAUGCAUGUCUCAUGCAGCCGGAAAGUAUCAAAGCAGCUUCUAGCUUGCCUUUAGUGCACUUUUACAUUUUAGACCUCAGAUCAGGUGGGACUACCCGCUGAACUUAAGCAUAUCAUAAGCGGAGGA
This 394-nucleotide unclassified non-coding RNA is filed under the name soil metagenome. Its description in RNAcentral is "partial contains 5.8S ribosomal RNA, internal transcribed spacer 2, and large subunit ribosomal RNA". The stretch from base 1 to 120 matches the Rfam family "5.8S ribosomal RNA", at positions 35 to 154 of the family's 154-position model. The record is from RNAcentral.